Venturia canescens is the source of this 1046-nucleotide long non-coding RNA. RefSeq lists it as uncharacterized. Lineage: Eukaryota; Metazoa; Arthropoda; Insecta; Hymenoptera; Ichneumonidae. The transcript has 3 exons. The record is from RefSeq and is a predicted model, not a curated record.
UUCCCGUGUUUACAUUGGACAAGACAGCAUCGUUUUGUCCAAUGUUUACGUUUCUACAUUUCGACUAUUCCAACAUGCUCUAUCAUUCCACUCGUACUUCGUGCAGAACGUGUAUUAUCGCGUUUUGACAUACGUUUUGAAUAUUGGUUUUUUAUGUUUUUUAUGACGUUAGAGGUCUUUCCCCUCAUUAAUUAUGUUCUUCAGGUAAUUCUUACACUUAAAUAGUACCACUUCGAUCUCGUGAGCUGGACAGAACGAGCACCCCAGAAACGUACACAGCACCAGCCUUUCCAAUGAAACACGAAUAUACGCGAAUGAAGAUAAAAUGAACCUCAAAAUCCAACUGUCUCAACCGAAUAUAAACAUUGGAAUGAGUGUCAGGAACAACAGUUUACUUUGAGCGAACUCAUCGAUCGCUGUAGAAAUGAAUCCUGUGAAUCCCUGAAAAAAAAUUCUAAUCAGGUCGUUGAAAAGUUCGAGAAUAUCCAAGGAAGUCUGUGCCAUCCAAUAAAAAAUUUAAUACUUUGUAUCGGCGUUAUUUUCGUGCUGGUGACUCCAGCUUGAUAAAUUUGUAUUACAAAUAUCUGUCAAAUGCACGGAGAUGAUCAAAUUUGAAAAAUUACCGUCGAUAGGAACUGUUACCGGGGUAUUUAGUAAAUUUUAACCUCACAAUGAAUUUUACGGCGCUGCACUCUACAAGUUUCCGUACGAAUAUUUAUGCUGGGAUGCAGCCACACACUGAGGACAUGCUAGAGAAGCAGCCAAAGGAAGAGCUGGAGUUUCAUCGAAUAAUCAAACUGAAGUUUCAAGAUCGUAGAACGUUUCUCUAUUUCUCUUGACUUGGGUAACGUUUACCAAAAUAACAUAGUCACAUCCUGGUAAGUCAUUCGAGAUAUUCAUCUCUGCCUCGCGCAUGUCAUCCCACGUCAUCGACUCUAAACGCUGAACACGGCGCUUUUAGCUAUUCCGAAACGACAAUGCCACAAAUUUGUUAACAAGAGCAAGUGAGCUAAAAUUCCUUGGACGAUGAAGAAAUAAAAACUGAG